GGUAGGGCAUGGGUGAGUGAGAAAGUUUUUCAGGGGGGUGGGGAUAAAGAUAGGUUUUCAGUUUGGAGAUAAUAGUUUAAAUUCGUGUUUUCACUAUUUAAUUAACCAGAAAUUGUAGAAUUGUCCAAAAUUAGUGAAACCAAUUUUAUUAGGAAUGUUUUAUCUUCCUUUAUGCAUUAAAAAUUCUUACACCCUAGGAAAGGGUAAUAAAAAUUAGGUAUUUAUUUAGUACCUUUAGUUAAGGUAUUUAAAUAAAUACUUAGUCUUUAUAAAAUAUAUAAAAUAUUGAAUAAUGUUUUAUUAUUCGCAAAUUCUUAGUAAUCCAUAGGAAUUAGGUUUUGGAGAUUAGAAUUUAUUUAUAAUGUUUUUCUAAAUAAAAGAAAAGGCUUAAGGUAGGUUAGUAAAGAAAUUAAAAAUUGUGGGUUAAUCUUUAUGGGUAGUUUAGUGUUGGCUUGCAACUUUAUCAUGAAGAUAGCAACUUUAUCAUGAAGAUAGGUUGUAUAGUCACUUAUCGGCUUCCAACUUUAUCAUGAAGGAAAGUUGUAUAGUC
Molecule: long non-coding RNA, 550 nt
Filed under: Setaria viridis
Lineage: Eukaryota; Viridiplantae; Streptophyta; Magnoliopsida; Poales; Poaceae
Description: long non-coding RNA (SVIR_LNC002157)
Source: RNAcentral